This 253-nucleotide ribosomal RNA is filed under the name uncultured bacterium. RNAcentral describes it as "partial 16S ribosomal RNA". It matches the Rfam family "Bacterial small subunit ribosomal RNA", at positions 524 to 776 of the family's 1533-position model. The record is from RNAcentral.
UACGUAGGGUGCGAGCGUCAAUCGGAAUUACUGGGCGUAAAGCGUGCGCAGGCGGUGAUGUAAGACAGGUGUGAAAUCCCCGGGCUUAACCUGGGAACUGCGCUUGUGACUACAUGACUCGAGUACGGCAGAGGGGGGUGGAAUUCCACGUGUAGCAGUGAAAUGCGUAGAGAUGUGGAGGAACACCGAUGGCGAAGGCAGCCCCCUGGGCCAGUACUGACGCUCAUGCACGAAAGCGUGGGGAGCAAACAGG